This 364-nucleotide long non-coding RNA is filed under the name Macaca mulatta (Rhesus monkey). RNAcentral describes it as "lncRNA (ENSMMUG00000053092.1)". Lineage: Eukaryota; Metazoa; Chordata; Mammalia; Primates; Cercopithecidae. The record is from RNAcentral.
AACAGUAAUGAAAGCUGGCUGAGCUAAAACCCAGAGCAUAAUUUCUCACUGGCUGGCUGCUCCAGAUAGUAAUAGCUUUAGUGCCCUUCAGAAUGGAAUUUUCCUGAGCCUGUGAAGAUGUGUGAGGUGUACCCGGCAGGGACCUUGUGACGCUGAUACAUCCAAUGGCCAGGAGAUUUUGGGGGUAGAUUCUGCAUCUAUCCAAACGGUAAGCUUUCUAGAGUUUCAUAUUCCAAAGAGUAUCCUCUCCAUCCUGAUUCAUCAUUUGACGUUGAUAUCCAAAGCAGAACAGUGAAGGACCACAAGGGAGGUGAGGACAUGUUAUAUUAGAUUCAGUAUUUUCUUUUGUGUUUUCUGAGAGGAG